CCUACGGGAGGCAGCAGUGGGGAAUUUUGGACAAUGGGCGAAAGCCUGAUCCAGCAAUGCCGCGUGAGUGAAGAAGGCCUUCGGGUUGUAAAGCUCUUUUGUCAGGGAAGAAACGGUGCGGGCUAAUAUCCUGCACUAAUGACGGUACCUGAAGAAUAAGCACCGGCUAACUACGUGCCAGCAGCCGCGGUAAUACGUAGGGUGCAAGCGUUAAUCGGAAUUACUGGGCGUAAAGCGUGCGCAGGCGGUUUUGUAAGUCUGUCGUGAAAUCCCCGGGCUCAACCUGGGAAUUGCGAUGGAGACUGCAAGGCUAGAAUCUGGCAGAGGGGGGUAGAAUUCCACGUGUAGCAGUGAAAUGCGUAGAGAUGUGGAGGAACACCGAUGGCGAAGGCAGCCCCCUGGGUCAAGAUUGACGCUCAUGCACGAAAGCGUGGGGAGCAAACAGGAUUAGAUACCCUGGCAGUCCACGCCCUAAACGAUGUCUACUAGUUGUCGGGUUUUAAUUAACUUGGUAACGCAGCUAACGCGUGAAGUAGACCGCCUGGGGAGUACGGUCGCAAGAUUAAAACUCAAAGGAAUUGACGGCUGAGAGUAGCGAGGACGACGACGAGGGAGGAGG
Molecule: ribosomal RNA, 619 nt
Filed under: uncultured bacterium
Lineage: Bacteria
Description: bacterial SSU rRNA
Rfam family: Bacterial small subunit ribosomal RNA
Source: RNAcentral